Molecule: ribosomal RNA, 375 nt
Filed under: uncultured bacterium
Lineage: Bacteria
Description: bacterial SSU rRNA
Rfam family: Bacterial small subunit ribosomal RNA
Source: RNAcentral
GACGAACGCUGGCGGCGUGCUUAACACAUGCAAGUCGAGCGGUAAGGCCCUUUCGGGGGUACACGAGCGGCGAACGGGUGAGUAACACGUGGGUGACCUGCCCUCAGCUCUGGGAUAAGCCUGGGAAACCGGGUCUAAUACUGGAUAUGACUCCAUGACGCAUGUUGUGGGGUGGAAAGCCUUGUGCGGCUGAGGAUGGGCCCGCGGCCUAUCAGCUUGUUGGUGGGGGAUGGCCUACCAAGGCGACGACGGGUAGCCGGCCUGAGAGGGCGACCGGCCACACUGGGACUGAGACACGGCCCAGACUCCUACGGGAGGGCAGCAGUGGGGAAUCUUGCGCAAUGGGCGAAAGCCUGACGCAGCGACGCCGCGUGA